CUACGGGGCGCUGCAGUCGCGAAUCAUUUACAAUGCGCGCAAGCGUGAUAAUGCGAGCCAAAGUGUUUUUCGUUUAGAAAAACUUUUCUUUACUGUAAAAAUGUAGAGGAAUAAGGACUGGGAAAGACCGGUGCCAGCCGCCGCGGUAAUACCGGCAGUUCAAGUUGCAUCCCUUUUUAUUGGGUCUAAAACAUCCGUAGCUUGGAAUUUAAGUCUCUUGUGAAAUCUCACGUCUCAAGCGCGGUGAAGUGCAGGAGAUACUGGAUUCCUAGAGAUCGGUAGACGUAAGGAGUACGCCGGGGGUAAUGGUAAAAUAUGUUAGUCCUCGGUGGACUAACAAUGAGCGAAGGCACCUUACGAGGACGAAUCUGACAGUGAGGGAUGAAGGCCAGGGGCGCAAAACGGAUUAGAUACCCCCGUAGUC
This 424-nucleotide ribosomal RNA is filed under the name uncultured archaeon. RNAcentral describes it as "partial 16S ribosomal RNA". It matches the Rfam family "Archaeal small subunit ribosomal RNA", at positions 323 to 746 of the family's 1478-position model. The record is from RNAcentral.